Molecule: long non-coding RNA, 428 nt
Filed under: Manacus vitellinus (golden-collared manakin)
Lineage: Eukaryota; Metazoa; Chordata; Aves; Passeriformes; Pipridae
Description: lncRNA (ENSMVIG00005008971.1)
Source: RNAcentral
UUUAGACACCAUCAUUGCUUUUUGUUUUAUGCAUUAAAAGAACUAUAGCAAAAUGACACACACUUGUAUCUUUUCUUUCAGACUCCCUCAAUACAUCCAUUUUGCAAAGUUUAUUUCCUCCUGUGCAUAGUGGCAGAUUUGUUGCAGUAUGACAAGCCAGCACUUCUGUUCUGGGACCCAAUGUUCCUUAUCACAAUCAAGAAGGGGGGACUAAAAGAACUGUGCAAGACCCUCUGCUGGACACUUCAGAUGUUCACACAUUUAAUGCUGGCCUAGGGAAAAACCAGAAAUCCAAGUUGAAUGGUUUCUGCAAAGGCCCCGUGAUAGGGGAGUUAUCAGUUCCUGUGGUAAGGAACAGUUCAUCCUGAGGUCAGUAAUAAUUCCAAAAUUAUUUCAAUAUAUAACACCAAGUACUAAAAAAGCACCCU